Molecule: long non-coding RNA, 427 nt
Filed under: Salmo salar (Atlantic salmon)
Lineage: Eukaryota; Metazoa; Chordata; Actinopteri; Salmoniformes; Salmonidae
Description: lncRNA (ENSSSAG00000113135.1)
Source: RNAcentral
GCGCCUCAGCAGAAGCGUCCGGCGCCUCAGCAGAAGCGUCCGGCGCCUCAGCAGAAGCCUCAGGAGCGUCCGCGCCUCAGCAGAAGCCUCAGGAGAAGCGCCUCAGCAGAAGCGUCCGGCCCCGGCGCCUCAGCAGAAGCGUCAGGCCCCGGCGCCUCAGCAGAAGCGUCCGGCCCCGCGCCUCAGCAGAAGCCUCAGCAAUAGCGUCCGGCGCCUCAGCAAUAGCGUCCGGCGCCUCAGCGGAAGCGUCAAGCCUUGAACAGACCGCCCGACCACUCAACUAGGGAGAUCAUAAUUUGGUUUGCAUAACUCCUUAAUUGUCGUUCCCCUGUUACUGUGCCUCCCUUUAGAAGAAAAGGUAACUGAGGUGGAGAAAUGUGCCAACUAAUGCUCUUGUUUGAAAUGAGGAUCUCCUUCACUUGUCCAG